UUUUUGAACUGCUAGGUUGGCAGGAGCUGGAGCUAACAGUGGGGCUCACUCCUCUCCCGGGAUUUGAACCUGGGACCUUUUGGUCCGCAAGUUCAGCAGCUCAGUGCUUUAACACACUGCGCCAUCAGGGGCCCCUGAUACAGCAGUGUAAAUGUCCAGUUUUAGAAUGCAGAUUAACUGCUUUGAACUGGAUUAUAUGGCAGUGUGGAUGGGGCCAAAGACUCUGGAGACCAAGGUUCGAAUCCUUGCAAGUCGCAUACUCUCAGCCCCUGAAAAAUCACAUAGGAAGUGACUUAAAUGCACGUAAACAACAGCGAUUGAAUAGCCAAACUUUUGUUUCAAGACCUCCAAAGAAGGAGAGCCCACCACUCUUUAACAGUAAAGCUCUUCCUAAUGUUUUGCCGGAAUCCCUUUUCUUGUAAUACGAAUCCUCUUCUUUUUUCCUCCAGGCCUUUAAAAAAGGCAAACGUUUGCUCUAAUGUGCACGGGGAACUUUCGCCAGCCCCUGCUGCGGUUUAGAGAGAGGAAUAGGAACCAAACCCACACAGGCAUUUGUAAUUUUGUAUGUGUGUGCAUGUGUGUGUCUUUAUUAUUAUUUUUCUUUGCUGUGCAGCUGCCAAAGAGUUCCUGAGCCAGAGAGAUCCAGUCUCAGCAAGCUGGAUAUAGAAAUGGGAUGGGAGGGAGGGGAGCAGGGCUGUUUGCUUUGGCUUUCGGUGCUCGAAAGACGCCCACAUGGCAGCAGCCCAGAGACUGGAGGGUUGUUUUUCUUUUCUGGCCUUAAAGAGACAGAGCUAGAAACCUAUUUAGGGAAGCCGGAGAGGAAAGGAUGUGUAAACACACAUAACCGACUUGGGGAUUAUGUCAGCAAAGCGGGCUGCACCGAGCUGGAAGAAUUCACAUUUCGAAGCAUUAAUCAUUCUCCGAUCUCACACUUCCUCCCGGCUCUGCUUUUGAGCCGUGCGUUUUGGCCGGAAUUCAGCUGCGAUGAUAAUGAUCAGGUACUUCAAAAUCCCUGUUUUAUAAGCUCCCCUUUGGAUGCGUUGGUGAAAAGGAAGAUGGAAAAAAACCAGCCUUUGCACAUCUGUGUUUCUCCCUCCCAUCCGCCUCUGCUUUGGCGUCCUGGUGUGAGUUUCCUCUAG
RNAcentral lists this long non-coding RNA (1139 nucleotides) under Anolis carolinensis (green anole). RNAcentral's name for it is "lncRNA (ENSACAG00000040627.1)". The record is from RNAcentral. Lineage: Eukaryota; Metazoa; Chordata; Lepidosauria; Squamata; Anolidae.